RNAcentral lists this non-coding RNA (29 nucleotides) under Mus musculus (house mouse). Lineage: Eukaryota; Metazoa; Chordata; Mammalia; Rodentia; Muridae. The record is from RNAcentral.
UCCGCCAGUGAUGGAGUGCUUACCUUCGU